Molecule: long non-coding RNA, 510 nt
Organism: Sapajus apella (tufted capuchin)
Lineage: Eukaryota; Metazoa; Chordata; Mammalia; Primates; Cebidae
Exons: 2
Source: RefSeq, a predicted model, not a curated record
AUUUUUAGUAGAGACAGGGUUUUACCAUGUUGGCCAGGCUGGUCUCAAACUCCUGACCUCAGCCCAAACCUCUCUUUUUUAAACAUUCUAUGUUUCGUAGUUACCUUUUCUUUGAUAUUAAUUAUUUCUCUGAGGUUUACUUCUGCUCUAAACCCUAACCUUUUUUAUUCUUCUCUGCUUUUUAAACUUUCAUAUUGGACAUUUUCCUCAAAUAUUUGUUUCUUGGCUCUGUAGUCAUUGUUGAGAGUGAGAAACUAAAAAGCUCACUGGUAGAGAGGGGUAUAUGUGUGCCUCUGGCAUGGUGGGACAUUGACUCUGGCUUCCAGAUUGGUGAGCAUCACUAUAGAGCAGUCUAAUGGUCAGCUAGUAUUUUCAUUAUAGACCCUCAAAUGUUGCUAGUGAUAAUUAUCUUCAGCAAGAUAAUUACCUGGAGAAGUUCAGCCUCUUUGCAGAAGGAUCUUCCAGUCUACUUAAGCUUGGCUGCUGUCUGCUCUUGGAGUUGGACAGAAU